CCAUGCAUAAUUAGUGGCAGACGGGUGAGUAAUGCAUAGGAAUCUACCUAGUAGUAUGGGAUAGCCACUAGAAAUGGUGGGUAAUACUGUAUAAUCCCUGCGGGGGAAAGAUUUAUCGCUAUUAGAUGAGCCUAUGUUAGAUUAGCUAGUUGGUAGGGUAAAGGCCUACCAAGGCAAUGAUCUAUAGCUGGUCUGAGAGGAUGAUCAGCCACACUGGAACUGAGAUACGGUCCAGACUCCUACGGGAGGCAGCAGUGGGGAAUAUUGGACAAUGGGCGCAAGCCUGAUCCAGCUAUGCCGCGUGAGUGAGGAAGGCCUUAGGGUUGUAAAACUCUUUCAGUAGGGAAGAUAAUGAGG
This 357-nucleotide ribosomal RNA is filed under the name Anaplasma phagocytophilum. RNAcentral describes it as "bacterial SSU rRNA". It matches the Rfam family "Bacterial small subunit ribosomal RNA", at positions 82 to 456 of the family's 1533-position model. Lineage: Bacteria; Pseudomonadati; Pseudomonadota; Alphaproteobacteria; Rickettsiales; Anaplasmataceae. The record is from RNAcentral.